UGGUAAUGAUCAAUUUCAAAAAGGACACAA
Molecule: non-coding RNA, 30 nt
Filed under: Rattus norvegicus (Norway rat)
Lineage: Eukaryota; Metazoa; Chordata; Mammalia; Rodentia; Muridae
Source: RNAcentral